CUACGGCGGUUAUAGAUGGGUAUGCGUCCUAUUAGCUAGUUGGUGAGGUAACGGCUCACCAAGGCGACGAUAGGUAGGGGAUCUGAGAGGACUAACCCCCACACUGGUACUGAGACACGGACCAGACUCCUACGGGAGGCAGCAGUAAGGAAUAUUGGUCAAUGGAGGCAACUCUGAACCAGCCAUGCCGCGUGCAGGAUGACGGCCCUAUGGGUUGUAAACUGCUUUUGUACCAGAGAAAACCUACUCACGUGUGAGUAGCUGAUAGUAUGGUAAGAAUAAGCAUCGGCUAACUUCGUGCCAGCAGCCGCGGUAAGACGAAGGAUGCAAGCGUUAUCCGGAUUCAUUGGGUUUAAAGGGUGCGUAGGCGGACUUGUAAGUCAGUGGUGAAAUCUCUUCGCUUAACGAAGAAACUGCCAUUGAUACUGCAGGUCUAGAGUACAGAUGACGUGGGCGGAAUAUGACAUGUAGUGGUGAAAUACUUAGAUAUGUCAUAGAACACCGAUUGCGAAGGCAGCU
This 519-nucleotide ribosomal RNA is filed under the name Sphingobacteriales bacterium. Its description in RNAcentral is "bacterial SSU rRNA". It matches the Rfam family "Bacterial small subunit ribosomal RNA", at positions 210 to 726 of the family's 1533-position model. The record is from RNAcentral. Lineage: Bacteria; Pseudomonadati; Bacteroidota; Sphingobacteriia; Sphingobacteriales.